This is a long non-coding RNA of Nothoprocta perdicaria, 209 nucleotides long. RefSeq lists it as uncharacterized. The record is from RefSeq and is a predicted model, not a curated record. The transcript has 2 exons. NCBI's taxonomy places the organism in Eukaryota, Metazoa, Chordata, Aves, Tinamiformes, Tinamidae.
GAAAAAAAAGUCUGAAAUUCAAAGAUAAUGAGGGACUAGGCGCCUUUCUUAUUCAUCUGCAGCUCGCCUGCACAAAACGCAGCAUCCUGAGCCACGGGAGGGCGUUUGCACUGGAGUUUGCGCCGCCGGAGCCGCCGAGGGCUCUUUCCCUUGGAAUGGCCCCGCUCCGCUGCCCGGCUCGGGGCGGGCGCAGCCCGAGCCCCUCUCUG